GGUUCUGUGGUGUAGUGGUUAUCACGUCUGUUUAACACGCAGAAGGUUGCGAGUUCGAACCUCGCCAGAACCU
This 73-nucleotide transfer RNA is filed under the name Aplysia californica (California sea hare). Its description in RNAcentral is "tRNA-Val (AAC) (tRNA-Val-AAC-5-1)". It matches the Rfam family "tRNA". From Rfam's summary of the family: Transfer RNA (tRNA) molecules are approximately 80 nucleotides in length. The record is from RNAcentral. Lineage: Eukaryota; Metazoa; Mollusca; Gastropoda; Aplysiida; Aplysiidae.